This 2196-nucleotide long non-coding RNA is filed under the name Citrus sinensis (sweet orange). Its description in RNAcentral is "long non-coding RNA (CSIN_LNC004801)". The record is from RNAcentral. Lineage: Eukaryota; Viridiplantae; Streptophyta; Magnoliopsida; Sapindales; Rutaceae.
UUAACAACAACCAUUAUAAAGGGAUUAAAAUCUCAGAAACAUCAAUAUAUUUUAUUUCGUUAUAAACCAUCUCUGACAGAGCAGUCUAAUUCAAUAGAACAUAACUCAUUCCUAAAAACCAUUCUGGUUCAGUAGACAGUACCCAUUCUUAAAAAUCAUUCUAGUUCAACAGAACAUUAUCCAUUCUUAAAAUUUACUGUUUUACAUUUACUUAGUGUCAUUUUGGAUAGGAUAAAAGUCAAAGUCACAAGUUUGGGAUCAAUCAAGGUCAUAUGGUAUAUAGAAAUUUGUCAGUAGUAAUUGCAUUAUCUUUGACACAUAUACGGACCAAUGACGUGGCAUUGACUGAUGAGGUGUCAUGAUUCUAUUGGACUAAAAUUUUUAUGUACUGUUGAUCAGUGACGUGGCAGCAUGUUAGUGGACCAAAAAUCGUGCAUACGGUACAUGCAUAUACACGAAAUUAUUUACAACCAAACCGCGUCCUUAUUCUAGCCGCCUCACUGUUCAAACCGCGUCAUUAUGCAAACCGCGUACUGUUGACACGUGGCACAAUCCUGAGCGUCCAAAUUAUUUUUAAUUCGAUGGCCAUGAUUUACUCAGUGUAUCUAUAAAAAGGGGGCUCCCCCAUGAUUUACUCAGUGUAUCUAUGGUGCAUGUUGAUGCAGAUCCAGAUAUCCAAGCACUCAAUUUUAAUAAUUUUCUCUUCAAUUUAUUCCCACCGUUUUAAUUCAAAUUUUAGGAUAAGCUAAGUCACUUUCACCACAAAUCCAACCACCCACUUAGAAAAUUAAUUCUACACAUAAUUAAAAUCCACCUCCUCGUGGGAUCGCCACUCGUCACCAUUAAUCUAUUCUGUAAUAAAUUUGUGUACUUGCGAGUUCAAUAAAAUUUGCAAAACAUUUGGAUAAAAGUUUUUGUGCCUCUAUGCUAUUGAUUUCAAUAAUUUUUUUUCAAUUUUAUCUUCAAUCACUAUAAGAAAACAGGUAAUAGAUGACGGAAAAUAACUAUCAUAAAAGAGGGCGCAUGACAGACAGUUCAUCCGUCAUCUAUGUCACUGUCACUAAUUUAUGAUAGAAUAUUUUUUCAUCAUGAAUUUAUGAUGGUAUUUCACAGUCAUAUAUCCAUCACAUAAUAUUUAAAUAUAAAAUUAAUUUAAUUAAAAUUAUUUUUUUUAAUUUCGUGCCUUUUUUUAAAUUUUUGGUGGGAAUUCAAUUAUCAUUUUAAAAUUUUGGCGGAAAAUUUUUUGUGACAGACUUUAUGAUGGAUAUUUCCGUCAUAGAGUUAUAUUUUAAAAAAAAUUAUAUUAUAAUUAUAAUUUAUUAAUCAAUUCCUGUUUACAGAUUUAAUUAAUUGAUAAAAUGAAUAUGGGAACAAAAACUAAAAACAAAUAAUAUUAAUUAAAAUCCAUUCAAUCCAACUAAUUCAAAAGAGAUACAUAUAGUAUCCAAUGUAAUCACCAUGAAUACAUAAUAAAACAUCUUAAAUUAAAAAAAUCCCAAAUAUAAAACAACACAGUUAAGUUAUAAUCCCAUAAACCAAGCCACAAAACUUCUAAAGAUUAACGGAAAUAUUCCAAUAGCAAGACUUUAAGCUUGACUUCGAGCAGUAAUGCCCUCUUCCAGUGGGAAUACUCCAACAACCACACUCUAACACUCCAAUGCAGACACUCAGCAACACUCCAACCCAUACCCAGCAACCCACCAUCUUCUAAUAGCACUCUAAUUCCAGCCACAUACCCAGCAACAUUCCAAACCAAACCAGCAAAUAAAUCUAUACAAAGUCAAUCAAAAUUCCCAAUGUUAUCAAAUGCAUAACAUCUACACUACAAUCCUUAACAACAACCAUUAUAAAGGGAUUAAAAUCUCAGAAACAUCAAUAUAUUUUAUUUCGUUAUAAACCAUCUCUGACAGAGCAGUCUAAUUCAAUAGAACAUAACUCAUUCCUAAAAACCAUUCUGGUUCAGUAGACAGUACCCAUUCUUAAAAAUCAUUCUAGUUCAACAGAACAUUAUCCAUUCUUAAAAUUUACUGUUUUACAUUUACUUAGUGUCAUUUUGGAUAGGAUAAAAGUCAAAGUCACAAGUUUGGGAUCAAUCAAGGUCAUAUGGUAUAUAGAAAUUUGUCAGUAGUAAUUGCAUUAUCUUUGAUAGUUAGAAGUACUGAACCAAACCAAUCAUCAAACAAGGAAAUAAUGAAU